CUUACAAACGUAGGUUCUGUUUCUUCCUCAUAUCUCUCUACCGUCCGAUCUCUCAAAUGCUAAAGCUUUCAAUCCAUCAACAAAGCGCGCCAAAUACAAAAAAAAUUUAACUUCAUUUUCUUCUCUACUGAUCCAGAAAGAAAACGAAGGGAAAAUUGAAGAAAAUUCAGAAAAAAAUUCUCCGGUCAACAAGUUAGUAAGCAUCUAAGGGUUUGGAUAGUAUGGCAGAAGUUCCGGCGAGUCCAGGAGGUGGUUGUGGUAGCCAUGAGAGUGGUGGUGAACGGAGUCCUCAAUCGAAUGUGAGGGAACAGGACAGGUACCUUCCGAUAGCGAACAUCGGUCGUAUCAUGAAAAAGGGAUUGCCUACUAAUGCUAAGAUAGCUAAGGAGGCUAAAGAUACUGUCCAGGAAUGUGUUUCUGAGUUCAUCAGUUUCAUCACUAGUGAGGCAAGUGACAAGUGUCAAAAAGAGAAGAGAAAGACGAUUAAUGGAGAUGAUUUGAUAUGGUCACUGACCACCUUAGGAUUUGAGGACUACAUUGAGCCACUAAAGGCCUAUUUGAUUAGGUACAGAGAGAUGGAGGGAGACACCAAGGGAUCUUCUAGAGCUGGAGAUACGUCUGCCAGAAACGAUAUAGUUGGAAGUCAGCUCAGUCCCGGUACACAGUUUGUCUAUGAUGGGUCUUUUUCACAAGGCUUUGACUAUGGGAACUCCCAAAUGUGAAUUUCCUAAGAAGACUAUAGUUUGGACAAUGGGUAGAUUAAAAUUGGUGUUCAUCGAGCUUCCUACCUCUCAAAAAGAGAGGGGUUGGGGAGAUGGCUGCCUACCUCUCAAUAGAGUGUAUUAAGUAUUACAACGGUGCUGAUGCGAGUAUCUUCUGCCUAAAGUUCUUGUUUAUCUAUGUACUAAGCCAUUCAAUGGUUGCUGAUAAUAUAUGUUUGAAAGCUCUAGGAACCGAAAGUAUCCUGCAAAUCUUGAAUUUAGCCAUACUGCAAAACACUUUAUUUUCUGAACUUCUCUUCCAGUACUUUGAUGCUCUGUACAUGUAACAUGUAAUUUGUUUUUUUUUGUUGUAAACUGAGAGCAAUCUUCUUUUUCUGCAAAAUUUGCUUGGUUCUAAGGGUGAGUGACCUUAACUUUUUGUAUGAAGUUACUUUUAAGACA
Solanum lycopersicum (tomato) is the source of this 1163-nucleotide non-coding RNA. NCBI's taxonomy places the organism in Eukaryota, Viridiplantae, Streptophyta, Magnoliopsida, Solanales, Solanaceae. The record is from RefSeq and is a predicted model, not a curated record.